AAAUCCAGAUAACACAGAUCUGUGUAAAAAAUUUACACAGAUUGUUGAACAUGUUCUAGCUGUCAAAACUGUGUAGUUUUAUAACGCAGAUCUGUGUAAAAAGUUACACAGAUUUCCGGUCAACCUCCCUUUCAAAUCUGGGUAAAAAAGUUAAGAUGGCGUCUUCCUGCAACAUUGACGGAACUUGAUAUUUAAGACAAACAGGCAACACAGAUGCAUCGCAAAUCAAAUGGAAUCGGUCCCUGUGCAUAGAAAUGUUUGCUCGGAAAGAUACACCUUCCUACGUCAAUCCCACUUGAUUGCGCCACUUGGAUUCCUCGGAACUUCCACCGAAUGAAUGAACUGGUGCUUCAAGUGCAGCGGAAUUAUCUGCCGCGGAAGCUGCUCUACGACCUUCCAUCUGGUCUCACAAGAGGACAUCUUCUUUGGCCCAAUGUGUAUAAUUAUUGUUAAUGAAAUGUAGUAAGUUUCAAACUUACACUAAUAAAUCUUUCAUGAUGUUUCUUUU
This is a long non-coding RNA of Culex pipiens pallens (northern house mosquito), 508 nucleotides long. RefSeq lists it as uncharacterized. The transcript has 3 exons. NCBI's taxonomy places the organism in Eukaryota, Metazoa, Arthropoda, Insecta, Diptera, Culicidae. The record is from RefSeq and is a predicted model, not a curated record.